RNAcentral lists this small RNA (668 nucleotides) under Pan troglodytes (chimpanzee). RNAcentral's name for it is "retained intron". Lineage: Eukaryota; Metazoa; Chordata; Mammalia; Primates; Hominidae. The record is from RNAcentral.
UUUCGCCAUCUUUUGUCUUUCCGUGGAGCUGUCGCCAUGAAGUAAGCAUGACCAGUGGUUCCCAAUCCGCUUGCAUCCUCGGGCAGAACGCCUCUCUGUCGUCCCUGGCAUGGCUGUAGACACCCUCCCUGAUGGACUUUCACUUUUUGUUGCAGGGUCGAGCUGUGCAGUUUUAGCGGGUACAAGAUCUACCCCGGACACGGGAGGCGCUACGCCAGGACCGACGGGAAGGUUUUCCAGUUUCUUAAUGCGAAAUGCGAGUCGGCUUUCCUUUCCAAGAGGAAUCCUCGGCAGAUAAACUGGACUGUCCUCUACAGAAGGAAGCACAAAAAGGGACAGUCGGAAGAAAUUCAAAAGAAAAGAACCCGCCGAGCAGUCAAAUUCCAGAGGGCCAUUACUGGUGCAUCUCUUGCUGAUAUAAUGGCCAAGAGGAAUCAGAAACCUGAAGUUAGAAAGGCUCAACGAGAACAAGCUAUCAGGGCUGCUAAGGAAGCAAAAAAGGCUAAGCAAGCAUCUAAAAAGACUGCAAUGGCUGCUGCUAAGGCACCUACAAAGGCAGCACCUAAGCAAAAGAUUGUGAAGCCUGUGAAAGUUUCAGCUCCCCGAGUUGGUGGAAAACGCUAAACUGGCAGAUUAGAUUUUUAAAUAAAGACUGGAUUAUAACUCCA